Molecule: RNA transcript, 1255 nt
Organism: Megalobrama amblycephala (Wuchang bream)
Lineage: Eukaryota; Metazoa; Chordata; Actinopteri; Cypriniformes; Xenocyprididae
Gene: mllt11
Gene name: MLLT11 transcription factor 7 cofactor
Exons: 2
Source: RefSeq, a predicted model, not a curated record
GGACGCUGAACUCAGCCAAUCAACAAGCAGCACUUACAUCUCACAAUAGACGACUCCACUAGAAGAAAGGAAGAAGGGGUCGUUAACAAAUGCAAAUGGGAAAAACAAAUUGUAAAGAUACCACAAAACUACUAACAUACACCCAUAAAUGCAGUUACUAAUUUUCUCUAUUUCAACAGAACAAUAUAUUGACCACGCCCACUUGACGCUAAUUAUGCACCUGUCACUGGUCCCUCAAUCGCCCACAGAAGGUGGGCGGGACUAAUGCAAAUCGCCCACUAGUGAUGUUGGGUGCGGUUGGUUCAUGCUGAGCAGCCGGCUAGAAGACUGAGCCCAAACAGCAUCGUCUAUUCUUCUUCAAACCUGAAUUACGACAGCUUGUAAUUCCAAGAGAAAGAACCCGAGCACAUAUUAGGGAUCGAAAUGUUAGACAAAACCAGCCAGUUCAACUCCUUCCUGUUUUGGAGGCAGCCCAUCCCAUCACUGGACCUGUCCGAGCUGGAAGACCUUGGCAUUUCUAUGCCCAAGUCCAAGGAAGCAAAGUCAACCAAGAGCUUUCCAAAACCUCCAGGACAGGAGGAGGAAGAAGAUUUGGAGUUGUCGAAGUUCUCCACAUUCAACUUCUGGAAAGAGCCCAUCGCUAGUAUUGAUAUCUUGGAUUUCAACCUGCUGUUAUAAGACACUGCAAUGCAAUUAUCAGUUCCCGCCCAAAUCUGUGUUUAAUGCCACUGUGGUUCCACCAAUUCUCUACUCCGAUCUGAUAUUGAUGAAUUGAUUACAAGAGUCGUGUAUCAUGUCUUUCUUGUGAAGCCAUGUCAGUUCAACUGUGAUAACUUGUGCUAAAACUAUUAAGGCAUUACUGAAUAUGGAUGUUAUUUACACUAUUUAGUACUUUACUGCCCUGUAAACUCUACAUGACUGCUCAAUUAGUCGUGCGCAUGAAAUAAGAUUAGGAUAUUCAGAUCCUUAAUCUGCCAAUUCAUUUCAUGGCAAUUAAAGGCAAGGGGAUUCAGAACAAAUAGUAAAUCUUAAACUGUAUAAUAUUAUUGUAUGGCAAAUGAUUUGUAAUAUUAAUGCAUAUAGUAAUUUUACUAGUUUAAACUAAAAUUUCACUUAAAGCUGUUUUUGUAUUAAACCGAGGUCAAUGUUAAAAGGCACAGCUAAUGCUUUUCACUGUUUCCCCCUUCACCACCAUGUUUGAUGACAAAUGUCAGAUGCCAAUUAAAGUGAGCUUGCUGCUAAAUGAAUAAAAAUG